Molecule: ribosomal RNA, 514 nt
Filed under: uncultured bacterium
Lineage: Bacteria
Description: partial 16S ribosomal RNA
Rfam family: Bacterial small subunit ribosomal RNA
Source: RNAcentral
AGCGAACGCUGGCGGCGUGCCUAACACAUGCAAGUCGAACGUGAACGGAGCAAUCCUAGUAAAGUGGCGUACGGGUGAGUAACACGCAGGUAAUCUACCUUACAGUCUGGAAUAACCUGACGAAAGUCGGGCUAAUACUGGAUAGAGCGACGGAAGCCGUAACGGUUUUUUCGGGAAAGGGAGCUCGAUAAGAGCCUUCGCUGUAAGAUGAGCCUGCGUCUGAUUAGUUAGUUGGUGGGGUAAUGGCCUACCAAGACGAUGAUCAGUAGCUGGUCUGGGAGGAUGAUCAGCCACACUGGAACUGAAACACGGUCCAGACUCCUACGGGAGGCAGCAGUGGGGAAUCUUGCGCAAUGGACGAAAGUCUGACGCAGCCACGCCGCGUGAGUGAAGAAGGCCUUCGGGUUGUAAAGCUCUGUCACCUGGGACGAAAACACUUACGGUUAAUAGCCGUAGGAAUUGACGGUACCAGGGGAGGAAGCACCGGCUAACUUCGUGCCAGCCGCCGCAGUAA